This 158-nucleotide ribosomal RNA is filed under the name Beauveria brongniartii. RNAcentral describes it as "5.8S ribosomal RNA". It matches the Rfam family "5.8S ribosomal RNA". From Rfam's summary of the family: 5.8S ribosomal RNA (5.8S rRNA) is a component of the large subunit of the eukaryotic ribosome. It is transcribed by RNA polymerase I as part of the 45S precursor that also contains 18S and 28S rRNA. Functionally, it is thought that 5.8S rRNA may be involved in ribosome translocation. The record is from RNAcentral. Lineage: Eukaryota; Fungi; Ascomycota; Sordariomycetes; Hypocreales; Cordycipitaceae.
AAACUUUCAAAACGGAUCUCUUGGCUCUGGCAUCGAUGAAGAACGCAGCGAAAUGCGAUAAGUAAUGUGAAUUGCAGAAUCCAGUGAAUCAUCGAAUCUUUGAACGCACAUUGCGCCCGCCAGCAUUCUGGCGGGCAUGCCUGUUCGAGCGUCAUUUC